UACGUAGGGGGCAAGCGUUGUCCGGAAUCAUUGGGCGUAAAGCGCGCGUAGGCGGCCCUGUAAGUCCGUUGUGAAAGUCAAAGGCUCAACCUUUGAAAGCCGAUGGAUACUGCAAGGCUAGAGUCCGGAAGAGGCGAGUGGAAUUCCUGGUGUAGCGGUGGAAUGCGCAGAUAUCAGGAGGAACACCAAUAGCGAAGGCAGCUCGCUGGGACGGUACUGACGCUAAGGCGCGAAAGCGUGGGGAGCGAACAGG
RNAcentral lists this ribosomal RNA (253 nucleotides) under uncultured bacterium. RNAcentral's name for it is "partial 16S ribosomal RNA". It matches the Rfam family "Bacterial small subunit ribosomal RNA", at positions 524 to 776 of the family's 1533-position model. The record is from RNAcentral.